GGUAAUAUACUUUAUAUAGAAGAUCUAGUUUGCAUCUAGAAAGAAACAUUUAUGUUUUUUACCA
Molecule: transfer RNA, 64 nt
Filed under: Thuridilla gracilis
Lineage: Eukaryota; Metazoa; Mollusca; Gastropoda; Plakobranchidae
Description: tRNA-Ala
Source: RNAcentral